CUACGGGCCGCAGCAGUAGGGAAUAUUGGACAAUGGGCGAAAGCCUGAUCCAGCAACACCGCGUGCACGAUGACGGCCUUCGGGUUGUAAAGUGCUUUUAGAGGAGAUGAGAAAGGACAGUAUCCUCUGAAUAAGCCUCGGCGAACUACGUGCCAGCAGCCGCGGUAAAACGUAGGAGGCAAGCGUUAUCCGGAUUUAUUGGGCGUAAAGCGCGUGCAGGCGGUCUAGCAAGUUGGAUGUGAAAGCUCCCGGCUCAACUGGGAGAGGUCGUCCAAUACUGUUAGACUAGAGAAUAGGAGAGGGAGGUGGAAUUCCGGGUGUAGCGGUGAAAUGCGUAGAUAUCCGGAGGAACACCAGUGGCGAAAGCGGCCUCCUGGACUAUUUCUGACGCUAAGACGCGAAAGCUAGGGUAGCAAACGGGAUUAGAUACCCGCGUAGUC
This 440-nucleotide ribosomal RNA is filed under the name uncultured bacterium. RNAcentral's name for it is "partial 16S ribosomal RNA". It matches the Rfam family "Bacterial small subunit ribosomal RNA", at positions 339 to 795 of the family's 1533-position model. The record is from RNAcentral.